GCACGAAGUUAGCCGGUGCUUUCUCUAGCGGUACCGUCAUUUUCCGUAUUUAUUAGAUACAGACUUUUCUUCCCGCUUAACAGGAGUUUACAAUCCUAAGACCGUCAUCCUCCACGCGGCGUCGCUGCGUCAGGCUUUCGCCCAUUGCGCAAUAUACCUCA
RNAcentral lists this ribosomal RNA (161 nucleotides) under uncultured bacterium. Its description in RNAcentral is "partial 16S ribosomal RNA". The record is from RNAcentral.